AUUGAACGCUGGCGGCAGGCCUAACACAUGCAAGUCGAGCGGAUGAAGGGAGCUUGCUCCUGGAUUCAGCGGCGGACGGGUGAGUAAUGCCUAGGAAUCUGCCUGGUAGUGGGGGAUAACGUCCGGAAACGGGCGCUAAUACCGCAUACGUCCUGAGGGAGAAAGUGGGGGAUCUUCGGACCUCACGCUAUCAGAUGACCCUAGGUCGGAUUAGCUAGUUGGUGGGGUAAAGGCCUACCAAGGCGACGAUCCGUAACUGGUCUGAGAGGAUGAUCAGUCACACUGGAACUGAGACACGGUCCAGACUCCUACGGGAGGCAGCAGUGGGGAAUAUUGGACAAUGGGCGAAAGCCUGAUCCAGCCAUGCCGCAUGUGUGAAGAAGGUCUUCGGAUUGUAAAGCACUUUAAGUUGGGAGGAAGGGCAGUAAGUUAAUACCUUGCUGUUUUGACGUUACCAACAGAAUAAGCACCGGCUAACUUCGUG
RNAcentral lists this ribosomal RNA (484 nucleotides) under uncultured bacterium. RNAcentral's name for it is "partial 16S ribosomal RNA". It matches the Rfam family "Bacterial small subunit ribosomal RNA", at positions 30 to 507 of the family's 1533-position model. The record is from RNAcentral.